Molecule: small RNA, 66 nt
Filed under: Skeletonema marinoi
Lineage: Eukaryota; Bacillariophyta; Thalassiosirophyceae; Thalassiosirales; Thalassiosiraceae
Description: partial Alphaproteobacteria transfer-messenger RNA
Source: RNAcentral
CGUGAUUUGGAGGUAAACUAUGCCAUUGGUUCAGAACUAACAAGUGCAAACAAUAAUUAUGCAUUG